RNAcentral lists this ribosomal RNA (500 nucleotides) under uncultured bacterium. Its description in RNAcentral is "bacterial SSU rRNA". It matches the Rfam family "Bacterial small subunit ribosomal RNA", at positions 28 to 523 of the family's 1533-position model. The record is from RNAcentral.
GAUGAACGCUAGCGGCAGGCCUAAUACAUGCAAGUCGAGGGGCAGCAGGGAUAGCAAUAUUCGCUGGCGACCGGCGCACGGGUGCGUAACACGUAUACAAUCUGCCUUUAACAGGGGGAUAGCCCGGAGAAAUCCGGAUUAAUACCCCAUAAUAGAUUGACUGGCAUCAGUUGAUCUUGAAAGCUCCGGCGGUUAGAGAUGAGUAUGCGUCUGAUUAGCUAGUUGGUGAGGUAACGGCUCACCAAGGCGACGAUCAGUAGGGGAUCUGAGAGGAUUAACCCCCCACACGGAUACUGAGACACGGAUCCGACUCCUACGGGAGGCAGCAGUAAGGAAUAUUGGACAAUGCCCGCAAGGGUGAUCCAGCCAUGCCGCGUGCAGGAAGACGGCCCUAUGGGUUGUAAACUGCUUUUACACCGGAGAAAACCCCCCUACGUGUAGGGGGCUGAUAGUAUGGUGAGAAUAAGCAUCGGCUAACUUCGUGCCAGCAGCCGCGGUAA